GGUUUUAUAGUUUAAAUUAAAACAAAAGAACUGCAAAUUCUUUUAUACUUUUAGUUAAAACCU
RNAcentral lists this transfer RNA (63 nucleotides) under Amyrsidea minuta. Its description in RNAcentral is "tRNA-Cys". Lineage: Eukaryota; Metazoa; Arthropoda; Insecta; Psocodea; Menoponidae. The record is from RNAcentral.